Molecule: long non-coding RNA, 357 nt
Filed under: Solanum tuberosum (potato)
Lineage: Eukaryota; Viridiplantae; Streptophyta; Magnoliopsida; Solanales; Solanaceae
Description: long non-coding RNA (STUB_LNC010922)
Source: RNAcentral
UAUCAGCUAAAGUUAAUUGGAUUUACUUCGAAAAACAGCUCACCUAUUCAAUCUUCCACAUGAUUUACAAGUAAUUUUCAAGCUAUAAGUUGCCGCAAAACACAAGCUCAGGCAAAAAAAAUUCUCAAAAAACGCAUACUAAACAUGACAAACAAUUUCCUCAGCAAAAUCAUGUAAACUACUAACAAAAAUCUUCAAAUAAAAUCAUGCAAACGGGUAAUGGGGCUUUUCCUUGAGGUUUUUAGAUAGUUUAUUUGUGUGGGUAAUGGGUAAAUUAGGUGGGUUAAAUGGGUAAUGGACGGGUAUUUAAAUUUUGGGUUAAAUAAUUAAUCAAAUCGGGUUGAGCCGUAGGAUUGC